AUUGAAUGGCCGCGGUAAACUGACCGUGCAAAGGUAGCAUAAUAAUUAGUCUUUUAAUUGAAGGCUUGAAUGAAUGAUUGAACGAGAAUUUAACUUUAUUUUAAUUAAUAUUUAAAUUUAAUUUUUAAGUAAAAAAGCUUAAAUAAGUAUGUGGGACGAGAAGACCCUAUAGAACUUAAAAAAUAAAUUGAUUAAUUAAUUUUGGAUUUAUAUUAUUAAAUAUAAUCAAUUUAUUUUUUAUGUUGGGGUGACAUUGAAAUAAUAUUAACUUUCAAUUAAUUUUCCAUUAAUUUAUGUUUUAUUGAUCCUGCUUUAAGAUUAAAAGAAUAAGUUACCUUAGGGAUAACAGCGUAAUUAAAUUGAAGAGUUCUAAUCGAUAAUUUAGUUUGCGACCUCGAUGUUGGAUUAAGAAAAGGUUUUGGAGCAAAUUUUAUAAAAGCUUGGUCUGUUCGACCAUUAAAUUCUUACA
This 469-nucleotide ribosomal RNA is filed under the name Subpsaltria yangi. RNAcentral's name for it is "partial large subunit ribosomal RNA". It matches the Rfam family "Bacterial large subunit ribosomal RNA", at positions 1922 to 2600 of the family's 2925-position model. Lineage: Eukaryota; Metazoa; Arthropoda; Insecta; Hemiptera; Cicadidae. The record is from RNAcentral.